GCUCAGGACGAACGCUGGCGGCGUGCCUAAUACAUGCAAGUCGAACGCUUCUUUUUCCACCGGAGCUUGCUCCACCGGAAAAAGAGGAGUGGCGAACGGGUGAGUAACACGUGGGUAACCUGCCCAUCAGAAGGGGAUAACACUUGGAAACAGGUGCUAAUACCGUAUAACAAUCGAAACCGCAUGGUUUUGAUUUGAAAGGCGCUUUCGGGUGUCGCUGAUGGAUGGACCCGCGGUGCAUUAGCUAGUUGGUGAGGUAACGGCUCACCAAGGCCACGAUGCAUAGCCGACCUGAGAGGGUGAUCGGCCACAUUGGGACUGAGACACGGCCCAAACUCCUACGGGAGGCAGCAGUAGGGAAUCUUCGGCAAUGGACGAAAGUCUGACCGAGCAACGCCGCGUGAGUGAAGAAGGUUUUCGGAUCGUAAAACUCUGUUGUUAGAGAAGAACAAGGAUGAGAGUAACUGUUCAUCCCUUGACGGUAUCUAACCAGAAAGCCACGGCUAACUACGUGCCAGCAGCCGCGGUAAUACGUAGGUGGCAAGCGUUGUCCGGAUUUAUUGGGCGUAAAGCGAGCGCAGGCGGUUUCUUAAGUCUGAUGUGAAAGCCCCCGGCUCAACCGGGGAGGGUCAUUGGAAACUGGGAGACUUGAGUGCAGAAGAGGAGAGUGGAAUUCCAUGUGUAGCGGUGAAAUGCGUAGAUAUAUGGAGGAACACCAGUGGCGAAGGCGGCUCUCUGGUCUGUAACUGACGCUGAGGCUCGAAAGCGUGGGGAGCAAACAGGAUUAGAUACCCUGGUAGUCCACGCCGUAAACGAUGAGUGCUAAGUGUUGGAGGGUUUCCGCCCUUCAGUGCUGCAGCUAACGCAUUAAGCACUCCGCCUGGGGAGUACGACCGCAAGGUUGAAACUCAAAGGAAUUGACGGGGGCCCGCACAAGCGGUGGAGCAUGUGGUUUAAUUCGAAGCAACGCGAAGAACCUUACCAGGUCUUGACAUCCUUUGACCACUCUAGAGAUAGAGCUUCCCCUUCGGGGGCAAAGUGACAGGUGGUGCAUGGUUGUCGUCAGCUCGUGUCGUGAGAUGUUGGGUUAAGUCCCGCAACGAGCGCAACCCUUAUUGUUAGUUGCCAUCAUUCAGUUGGGCACUCUAGCAAGACUGCCGGUGACAAACCGGAGGAAGGUGGGGAUGACGUCAAAUCAUCAUGCCCCUUAUGACCUGGGCUACACACGUGCUACAAUGGGAAGUACAACGAGUCGCGAAGUCGCGAGGCUAAGCUAAUCUCUUAAAGCUUCUCUCAGUUCGGAUUGCAGGCUGCAACUCGCCUGCAUGAAGCCGGAAUCGCUAGUAAUCGCGGAUCAGCACGCCGCGGUGAAUACGUUCCCGGGCCUUGUACACACCGCCCGUCACACCACGAGAGUUUGUAACACCCGAAGUCGGUGAGGUAACCUUUUGGAGCCAGCCGCCUAAGGUGGGAUAGAUGAUUGGGGUGAAGUCGUAACAAGGUAGCCGUAUCGGAAGGUGCGGCUGGAUCACCUCCUUUCUAAGGAA
Molecule: ribosomal RNA, 1547 nt
Filed under: Enterococcus faecium
Lineage: Bacteria; Bacillati; Bacillota; Bacilli; Lactobacillales; Enterococcaceae
Description: bacterial SSU rRNA
Rfam family: Bacterial small subunit ribosomal RNA
Source: RNAcentral